This 253-nucleotide ribosomal RNA is filed under the name uncultured bacterium. RNAcentral describes it as "partial 16S ribosomal RNA". It matches the Rfam family "Bacterial small subunit ribosomal RNA", at positions 524 to 776 of the family's 1533-position model. The record is from RNAcentral.
UACAGAGGGUGCGAGCGUUAAUCGGAAUUACUGGGCGUAAAGCGCGCGUAGGCGGCUUUGUAAGUCGGGUGUGAAAUCCCCAGGCUUAACCUGGGAACUGCAUUCGAGACUGCAUUGCUAGAGUAUGGGAGAGGGAAGUGGAAUUUCCGGUGUAGCGGUGAAAUGCGUAGAUAUCGGAAGGAACAUCAGUGGCGAAGGCGGCAUCCUGGACCGGCAUUGACGCUGAGGAGCGAAAGCUAGGGGAGCAAACGGG